This is an RNA transcript of Penaeus chinensis, 1074 nucleotides long. It is a transcript of the gene named protein PXR1-like, with no coding region annotated. NCBI's taxonomy places the organism in Eukaryota, Metazoa, Arthropoda, Malacostraca, Decapoda, Penaeidae. The record is from RefSeq and is a predicted model, not a curated record. The transcript is spliced from 2 exons.
AACAGCAACUGUAGGUCUCCCAAACGAAACCAAACGAUGGCGCAACAAACGUGGAUCAAGCUGAAUUGUCAGCAUCCAGAGUACAAAAUACCUUUCGUGGACCUGGAGUGCGAGGGCAUGAUCACUACUUUUGGUGUGGAUACCGGUCUGUUACGAACCAUGGUUACACCAGAAUAGGUUGAAGAGUGGGACUUGACGGACGUGAUAUCGCCUUUGGAACCAGAGGAUGACAGUUACCUGGGCGGGGUGUUUGUGGAUAUGCUGAUCAACGGCGAGCUAUAAGAACAGCUCUGUAUUGUGAAGGAGGACCUCGAGUACAACCUGCUGGGUCUCGACGUCAUCAAACGUAAUUGUGCCAUAUUAGAUUUUUGCAAUUUUAAACUCGCUUUCCGUGAGUACGUCCCAGAUCUCCCUCUAGAUGUCCCCAGGACAACAGUGAACGUUGAAGGCCAAGACAUAGAAUUGUAGGUCGACACAGGCUGUGGCCCUACUCUAUAUGGGCCAAUGAGUGUAGCGAAGCAACUCAAUCUGCACUUGGUACCUAUUCAGGGACAAUAUCGAAUCCUUGGUAUUGGGUUUACAUAGUACGUUAAAUACAUGGCCUACGAACUGUGCAUUAAGGGGCAUGGCCAGGAGGUGAUUCACGCCGCGUAUGUAGUAGCGGGCGAAAAUACCCCGGAGUGGUCUGCAGGUCCUUAUAUUGGACUAAAUUUCUUUUAUGGAACCAAAAUGCAGUUUAACCCGGACAACACGUUUGAAGUCGAGUUCAUUGGCGGAGAAAAUAAGGCAGUAUGGCAACGCAGGGAAGACGAGGAAAGGAAGAGAAAGGAGAGUAAGGAGGAGAAGGCCCAGGAAUCCAACGAGGAUGCACACGUCGCCACCGAGGAGGCUGCAGAGCUCCAUCAGGACUGAGAAAUGUAUUUUUCUCACAUAUUCGAUUAGUCCAUUAUGUAUGACGACAGCAGGCAUAUGGCCGUGUUUACAGGAAGUCCCUCCUUGAUGUCCCCUGCAACGAAAGCCAUUGCACCGGCCACGCCACCAACACUGGCAGGAGUUAAUGCCCCAUUAUCUUCC